GACGAACGCUGGCGGCGUGCUUAACACAUGCAAGUCGAACGGAAAGGCCCUGCUUGCAGGGUACUCGAGUGGCGAACGGGUGAGUAACACGUGGGUGAUCUGCCCUGCACUUCGGGAUAAGCCUGGGAAACUGGGUCUAAUACCGGAUAGGAGCUAUUUUUAGUGUGAUGGUUGGAAAGUUUUUUCGGUGUAGGAUGAGCUCGCGGCCUAUCAGCUUGUUGGUGGGGUGAUGGCCUACCGAGGCGGCGACGGGUAGCCGGCCUGAGAGGGUGGACGGCCACAUUGGGACUGAGGUGCGGCCCAAGCUCCGACGGGUGGCAGAAGUGGGGAAUAUUGCACAAUGGGCGCAAGGCUGAUGCAGCGGCGCCGCGUGGGGGAUGACGGCCUUCGGGUUGUAAACUACUUUCGCUAGGGACGAAGCUUUUUGUGACGGUACCUAGAGAAGAAGCACCGGCUAACUACGUG
Molecule: ribosomal RNA, 465 nt
Filed under: uncultured bacterium
Lineage: Bacteria
Description: partial 16S ribosomal RNA
Rfam family: Bacterial small subunit ribosomal RNA
Source: RNAcentral